Molecule: ribosomal RNA, 206 nt
Filed under: uncultured bacterium
Lineage: Bacteria
Description: partial 16S ribosomal RNA
Rfam family: Bacterial small subunit ribosomal RNA
Source: RNAcentral
GGAUUGAAGGCUGAAAUUCGCCUUCCAUGAAGCCGGAAUUGCUAGUAAUGGCAGGUCAGCAUACUGCCGUGAAUACGUUCCCGGGCCUUGUACACACCGCCCGUCACACCAUGAGAGUUGGGAAUACCCGAAGCCUGUGAGCUAACUUAUAGAGGCAGCAGUCGAAGGUAGAAUCAAUGAUUGGGGUGAAGUCGUAACAAGGUAAC